GCAAAGUUGGUGUUACCCAGACAGACAAUCACUUUUUUUUCUACAAAUGUAUUUUUAUUCUGUUCCUCCCCCGUUGUCAAUAAACAAGUUUAUCAUGUUUGUAUAGAAUGCGGGUGCAUUCCGUUCUGUUGGUUACCAAGACAAACACAGUACUGAAGAAUCCCUCAAAGCAUCCCUGGUUUGGAUGAAAGCCCGGGAACAGAAGAGCUCAUCCUCAAGAGCACUAUCAGAUCUCAGCCUCUAUGGUAUUUAAAAGGGCUUGGAAAAUUUGUUUGAGAAAAUACCAAGGAUGUGAAAACAACAAAGUGAAAAAUAAAAUCUUUAUCUAGCACAAGCACAUUGAGGGACCGGACUUGAGCUGAUGUGAAGAAAACUUCACCUCCGAAGCACAGAGUGUAUUUUGGUUCUGUUGCACAACCUGUUGUGCUCCACAAGACCACGUCUGUCCAUGGCUGCAGUGUUUGUUAAUGCAGAAGAGAAUUCUUCAUGGGGUCUGUGAAAUGAGGAGUGCACAGCUAAGGAUUAACAGACUGCUUGAUGUCCUAAACUGGACUCAUUAAUCUUAACAGACCUGAAAGAAGUUGAGAAGGGGA
Molecule: long non-coding RNA, 593 nt
Filed under: Coturnix japonica (Japanese quail)
Lineage: Eukaryota; Metazoa; Chordata; Aves; Galliformes; Phasianidae
Description: lncRNA (ENSCJPG00005000599.1)
Source: RNAcentral